This 406-nucleotide ribosomal RNA is filed under the name uncultured bacterium. Its description in RNAcentral is "partial 16S ribosomal RNA". It matches the Rfam family "Bacterial small subunit ribosomal RNA", at positions 30 to 526 of the family's 1533-position model. The record is from RNAcentral.
AUUGAACGCUGGCGGCAGGCUUAACACAUGCAAGUCGAGCGAGCGGCGGACGGGUGAGUAAUGUCUGGGAAACUGCCUGAGGGAGGGGGAUAACUACUGGAAACGGUAGCUAAUACCGCAUACAAUCAGGUGUGACCAGAUGGGAUUAGCUAGUCGGUGGGGUAAUGGCUCCCCUAGGCGACGAUCCCUAGCUGGUAUGCGCGGAUGACCAGUCACACGGGAACUGAGACACGGUCCAGACUCGUACGGUAGGCAGCAGUGGGGAACAGUGCACAAUGGGCGCAAGCCUGAUGCAGCCAUGCCGCGUGUGUGAAGAAGGCCUUCGGGUUGUAAAGCACGUUCAGCGAUGAGGCGUUACUCGCAGAAGAAGCACAGGCUAACUCCGUGCCAGCAGCCGCGGUAAUAC